This 482-nucleotide ribosomal RNA is filed under the name uncultured bacterium. Its description in RNAcentral is "partial 16S ribosomal RNA". It matches the Rfam family "Bacterial small subunit ribosomal RNA", at positions 30 to 507 of the family's 1533-position model. The record is from RNAcentral.
AUUGAACGCUGGCGGCAUGCCUUACACAUGCAAGUCGAACGGUAACAGGACUUCGGUUGCUGCCUUGUGGCGGACGGGCGAGUAAUACAUCGGUACGUGGCCGACUGUCGGGGGUAGCGGGGUGACUGCUGUGCUCAUACGCCAUACGAUCUACGCAUGACAACGGCAGAUCUUCGGACCUCCCGCCGUCGGACCGGCCGAUGGCGGGUUAUGUAGUUGGUGGGUUAAAAGCGUAACCACCCGACGAUCUGUCGCUCGUCUGAUAGGAUGAUCAGCCACACUGGGACUGAGACACGGCCCAGACUCCUACGGGAGGCAGCAGUGGGGAAUUUUGGACAAUGGGCGGAAGCCUGAUCCAGCCAUGCCGCGUGCAGGAUGAAGGCCUUCGGGUUGGAAAAUGCUUUUGUGCGGAACGAAAAGCCUCUAUCUAAUAAAGAGGGGUAAUGACGGUACCGGAAGAAUAAGCACCGGCUAACUACGUG